AGUGAACGCUGGCGGUAGGCCUAACACAUGCAAGUCGAACGGCAGCACAGUAAGAGCUUGCUCUUACGGGUGGCGAGUGGCGGACGGGUGAGGAAUACAUCGGAAUCUACUUUUUCGUGGGGGAUAACGUAGGGAAACUUACGCUAAUACCGCAUACGACCUACGGGUGAAAGCAGGGGAUCUUCGGACCUUGCGCGAUUGAAUGAGCCGAUGUCGGAUUAGCUAGUUGGCGGGGUAAAGGCCCACCAAGGCGACGAUCCGUAGCUGGUCUGAGAGGAUGAUCAGCGACACUGGAACUGAGACACGGUCCAGACUCCUACGGGAGGCCGCAGUGGGGAAUAUUGGACAAUGGGCGCAAGCCUGAUCCAGCCAUACCGCGUGGGUGGAGAAGGCCUUCGGGUUGUAAAGCCCUUUUGUUGGGAAAGAAAAGCAGCAGGUUAAUACCACGCUGUUCUGACGGUACCCAAAGAAUAAGCACCGGCUAACUUCGUG
This 492-nucleotide ribosomal RNA is filed under the name uncultured bacterium. Its description in RNAcentral is "partial 16S ribosomal RNA". It matches the Rfam family "Bacterial small subunit ribosomal RNA", at positions 29 to 507 of the family's 1533-position model. The record is from RNAcentral.